Molecule: long non-coding RNA, 354 nt
Filed under: Mytilus galloprovincialis (Mediterranean mussel)
Lineage: Eukaryota; Metazoa; Mollusca; Bivalvia; Mytilida; Mytilidae
Source: RNAcentral
CUCUGUCCUGUUACCGUUGUCCUGUUACUCAAGAUUCUUUCAUGUUACCGACAUCUCUGACUAUAUUUUAGUAUAUUACUAAACCUUUUGUAUUACAAAUGCUAAAAUCAAUAAUUGGCAUUUACUAAACUAUUGCAGGAUAUACUAGUAAACCACAAAUAGUGUUUUAAACUUAUUCCUUAUUCCCAUUAGAAACUUUUUAAAAUUGAUUCAUUUUGGUAACAGGAAAGAACUGGAAUUAUUUUGUACCAUUUUUGAAAUUGCAAUUGUUACCACAUUUAACAAUUGUUUGAGUUACAGACAACAGUUCAUAGAUCCCCAAUGUGUGUUCUUCGAUUUGUGCUAUUAAAAUAC